Molecule: ribosomal RNA, 106 nt
Filed under: uncultured bacterium
Lineage: Bacteria
Description: partial 16S ribosomal RNA
Source: RNAcentral
GUACCGUCAUUAUCUUCCCUAGCGAAAGAGCUUUACAACCCUAAGGCCCUCUUCACUCACGCGGCAUGGCUGGAUCAGGGUUGCCCCCAUUGUCCAAUAUUCCCCA